Cavia porcellus (domestic guinea pig) is the source of this 1141-nucleotide long non-coding RNA. RefSeq lists it as uncharacterized. The record is from RefSeq and is a predicted model, not a curated record. Lineage: Eukaryota; Metazoa; Chordata; Mammalia; Rodentia; Caviidae. The transcript is spliced from 3 exons.
CAAUUUAAGAAAUCUGUCCCAAAGCCAAGGACAUAGCUCCCCACGUACAAGAAGGGAGGCAAGUCCUUUGGGCUUGGUGCCGUGAAGGAGAAAAAGACUGCACUGAAUCAGGUGGCCUUGUGUGGGACGGAAGGAGGCCAGGCAAACACCCAGCUUUGGAACCUAAAACCUAAAUUCAAGGGACAGACCUUCCAGUUCCCAAGUGCACCUCCCCUCGGCCACUUACUCCAGCUACGGGAGCUCCAUUUAUGCGUUUGUUCCUGGAAAACAUGAUGCUGACCCCAAAGCACAGGAGUUGUAAGUCAUUUGCUCCUGGCCCCUCCUGUUUGACCGGUGGAGCAAGGACUUGAACCUGGCCAGUCUAGCACCAAACGAGACUGACACUGCCAAGCCCUCAGGAAAGCCUUUCAUGAUUCAGUGUUUCAUUGUACUUCUCGUUAAAGGACAACCUUAAAAAAAAGUAAAAUCCUGAUUGCCUACAAAUAUAAAAUGAGCAAGUGUUAAGUAAGGAUUUUUAUUAUGAGAUUACUUGGCAUAUGUUGUUAGAAAAAAUAAUGAUGAAUUGGGCAGGAGUGCACAGUUCAGAGAUCUGGUCUGCAACAUGGUCAGGCAACAUUUUGUGGUCAGAAGCUUGAUUGAUUACAGUUCAAUUUUGGCAUAUUCAUAUAUAUGCCAAUUAUAUGUAUGAGCAAUUUACAGCCUGUGAUUGGCUGAAGCUCAGCUACUGUGAUUGGCUGAGACUUGUUACAAAGUCUACUUCUGGGGCCCGGCAUGUAGCACGGGAAGAAGCACCAAAAUAAGAUAAUAAUAAUUAACUAAGCUCUUACCUUAGGCUUUUAAUUAGUCUGCAUACUGAGAUGGAGUUCAUAAGGAUUCGAGCAAUUACAGAGGCAUCCUUAGGCCAAAAUUAGUUUAACAACAUUGCAACUGUUUCAAAGGAAUCCAAAGGACAGACAACCUUUAUAGAUCAAAAAUACUGAACUGAAUGCAAAACAGGUUUUUCCAGGGUGGGGAAAAGCUAUAUGGACAAAACUCGUUUGCAUCUUUAUAGACAAGAAUUAUUCUGCAUUGCUAUCUGUUCUCACCCUUUACGAUGUGGUAAAAUAGAAAGUAAUAAAAAUCUAGAAUCAGACAACCCUAA